UCGAGAAUCAUUCACAAUGGGGGGAACCCUGAUGGUGCGACGCCGCGUGGGGGAGGAAGGUCUUCGGAUUGUAAACCCCUGUCAUGCAGGAGCAAGGCGAGAGUUGAUAGUACUGCAAGAGGAAGAGACGGCAAACUCUGUGCCAGCAGCCGCGGUAAUACAGAGGUCUCAAGCGUUGUUCGGAAUCACUGGGCGUAAAGGGUACGUAGGCGGCGGGGCAAGUUGCGCGUGAAAGGCAGGGGCUCAACCUCUGGAAUGCGCGUGAAACUACCCUGCUAGAGCGAUGGAGGGGGAACCGGAAUUCUUGGUGUAGCAGUGAAAUGCGUAGAUAUCAAGAAGAAGACUCGUGGCGAAGGCGGGUUCCUGGACAUGAGCUGACGCUGAGGUACGAAGGUCAGGG
RNAcentral lists this ribosomal RNA (400 nucleotides) under uncultured bacterium. RNAcentral's name for it is "bacterial SSU rRNA". It matches the Rfam family "Bacterial small subunit ribosomal RNA", at positions 355 to 765 of the family's 1533-position model. The record is from RNAcentral.